Molecule: ribosomal RNA, 379 nt
Filed under: uncultured Comamonadaceae bacterium
Lineage: Bacteria; Pseudomonadati; Pseudomonadota; Betaproteobacteria; Burkholderiales; Comamonadaceae
Description: bacterial SSU rRNA
Rfam family: Bacterial small subunit ribosomal RNA
Source: RNAcentral
CCAGAGAUGGUUUGGUGCUCGAAAGAGAGCCGUAACACAGGUGCUGCAUGGCUGUCGUCAGCUCGUGUCGUGAGAUGUUGGGUUAAGUCCCGCAACGAGCGCAACCCUUGUCAUUAGUUGCUACGAAAGGGCACUCUAAUGAGACUGCCGGUGACAAACCGGAGGAAGGUGGGGAUGACGUCAAGUCCUCAUGGCCCUUAUAGGUGGGGCUACACACGUCAUACAAUGGCUGGUACAAAGGGUUGCCAACCCGCGAGGGGGGAGCCAAUCCCAUAAAGCCAGUCGUAGUCCGGAUCGCAGUCUGCAACUCGACUGCGUGAAGUCGGAAUCGCUAGUAAUCGUGGAUCAGCAUGUCGCGGUGAAUACGUUCCCGGGCCUU